Molecule: long non-coding RNA, 980 nt
Organism: Oncorhynchus tshawytscha (Chinook salmon)
Lineage: Eukaryota; Metazoa; Chordata; Actinopteri; Salmoniformes; Salmonidae
Source: Ensembl
GAGGGAGCUCUGACAAGUUAGAGAACUUUAGAAUUUGAACUACCAGAAACAAAUCUGUUUAUACAAGUGUUGUGAACCACAUUCCCUUUUACUCCAGGCCCACAGUCUUACCACACAGCAAGCACAUGGUAGGCAGAAGAGAAUAUAUUUGAAGGACGAGGUAUAUUGAAAGUCAAAUUGUUUAUUGAGCAAACCAUGCAAGAGUAGCAGGAACACCAGGCUAAAUCAAAAACAUAACCGUAGAACCUAAAAGUGUGUCAGACAAAUCAGAUGUCAAUUUUAGUCGUAUGGUUAUAAAAACAAUUCAUACCCUUGUAGUGUAUCAUCCACCCCUGUAAACAAUUUGCAUGACGUUGCACAAGUGAAGGAGAACCUCAUUUCAACAAGUGCAUUAGUUGACAUAUUUCCCCUCAGUUACCUUUGCCUUUUCUUCAAAAGGAGGCACAGUAACAGGGGACAGACGAUUAAGGAGUUGGGCAAACCAAAUUAUGAUCUCCCUAUCUAGCUUGUUGAGGGGUCGGGCCGUCUGUUCAAGGCUUGUCGCUUCUGCUGAGGCGCGGGGGCCGGACGCUCCUGCUGAGGCGCGGGGGCCGGUGGCUUCUGCUGAGGCGCGGGGGCCGGUGGCUUCUGCUGAGGCGCGGGGGCCGGUGGCUUCUGCUGAGGCGCGGGGGCCGGUGGCUUCUGCUGAGGCGCGGGUCGCUUCUGCUGAGGCGCGGGGGCCGGUCGCUUCUGCUGAGGCGCGGGGGCCGGUCGCUUCUGCUGAGGCGCGGGGGCCAGAUGCUUCUGCUGAGGCGCAGGUCGCUUCUGCUGAGGCGCGGGGGCCGGUCGCUCCUGCUGAGGCGCGGGGGCCGGUCGCUCCUGCUGAGGCAUUUCGACCCGACGUCACAUUUGCCGAGCUAUUGUGGCCAGUAGCUUUAGCAUUUGGAACAGACACCACACUCGCUUGGGCUCCAGUGGAGGCAGGAUGCCCAUAAGCACCU